GCCCUUUUCACAUUGUACUACUGUGUCUCACUGUCAGAAGCAGUGCAAUAUCAAAAGGGCAU
This 62-nucleotide microRNA precursor is filed under the name Microcaecilia unicolor. Its description in RNAcentral is "Mun-Mir-130-P1c_pre stem-loop". It matches the Rfam family "mir-130 microRNA precursor family", at positions 12 to 72 of the family's 83-position model. Rfam says of the family: The hairpin precursors (represented here) are predicted based on base pairing and cross-species conservation -- their extents are not known. In this case the mature sequence is excised from the 3' arm of the hairpin. Lineage: Eukaryota; Metazoa; Chordata; Amphibia; Gymnophiona; Siphonopidae. The record is from RNAcentral.